RNAcentral lists this ribosomal RNA (724 nucleotides) under uncultured archaeon. RNAcentral describes it as "bacterial SSU rRNA". It matches the Rfam family "Archaeal small subunit ribosomal RNA", at positions 1 to 735 of the family's 1478-position model. The record is from RNAcentral.
UUCCGGUUGAUCCUGCCAGAGGUCACUGCUAUNGGGGUUCGAUUAAGCCAUGCGAGUCGAGAGGGUUCGGCCCUCGGCGUACUGCUCAGUAACACGUGGAUAACCUGCCCUAGGGGAGGGGAUAACCCCGGGAAACUGGGGAUAAUACCCUAUAGGUUACAGAUGCUGGAAUGCCCUGUAACCAAAAGCUCCGGCGCCCUAGGAUGGAUCUGCGGCCGAUUAGGUUGUUGUUGGGGUAACGGCCCAACAAGCCCGUAAUCGGUACGGGUUGUGGGAGCAAGAGCCCGGAGUUGGAUUCUGAGACACGAAUCCAGGCCCUACGGGGCGCAGCAGGCGCGAAACCUUUACAAUGCGGGCAACCGUGAUAAGGGAACCUCGAGUGCCUGUAAACGCAGGCUGUUCAGGUGUUUAAAACGCACCUGGAGAAAGGGCCGGGCAAGACCGGUGCCAGCCGCCGCGGUAAUACCGGCGGCUCGAGUGGUGGCCGCUUUUAUUGGGCUUAAAGCGUUCGUAGCUGGGUUGUUAAGUCUCUUGGGAAAUCUGGCGGCUUAACCGUCAGGCGUCUAAGGGAUACUGGCAAUCUUGGAACCGGGAGAGGUGAGGGUACUUCGGGGGUAGGGGUGAAAUCCUGUAAUCCUCGAGGGACCACCUGUGGCGAAGGCGCCUCACCAGAACGGCUUCGACAGUGAGGGACGAAAGCUGGGGGAGCAAACCGGAUUAGAUA